RNAcentral lists this ribosomal RNA (483 nucleotides) under uncultured bacterium. RNAcentral describes it as "partial 16S ribosomal RNA". It matches the Rfam family "Bacterial small subunit ribosomal RNA", at positions 30 to 507 of the family's 1533-position model. The record is from RNAcentral.
AUUGAACGCUGGCGGCAGGCCUAACACAUGCAAGUCGAGCGGAUGAAGGGAGCUUGCUCCUGGAUUCAGCGGCGGACGGGUGAGUAAUGCCUAGGAAUCUGCCUGGUAGUGGGGGAUAACGUCCGGAAACGGGCGCUAAUACCGCAUACGUCCUGAGGAGGAAGGUGGGGGUUCUUGGACCUCCCCCUUUCCGGAUAGCCUAGGUCGGAUUAGCUAGUUGGUGGGGUAAAGGCCUACCAAGGCGACGAUCCAUAACUGGUCUGAGAGGAUGAUCAGUCACACUGGAACUGAGACACGGUCCAGACUCCUACGGGAGGCAGCAGUGGGGAAUAUUGGACAAUGGGCGAAAGCCUGAUCCAGCCAUGCCGCGUGUGUGAAGAAGGUCUUCGGAUUGUAAAGCACUUUAAGUUGGGAGGAAGGGCAGUAAGUUAAUACCUUGCUGUUUUGACGUUACCAACAGAAUAAGCACCGGCUAACUUCGUG